AUUAAAUAAUCAUUUUCAGGUGCCCCUCGGGGAGAAUAGGAAAAUAAGUGAGAAGCUUAUACGGGCCCGCCGCUGUAAAUUGGGAAUUUCUGUCAAGAUGCCACUGUUUAAAAAAUGGGAAGGCGACAGCGAUGAGGAUCAUGAGUCAGAAGACCUGCCGGAGAAUUAGAUGAUGA
This 176-nucleotide non-coding RNA is filed under the name Acetobacterium wieringae. Lineage: Bacteria; Bacillati; Bacillota; Clostridia; Eubacteriales; Eubacteriaceae. The record is from RNAcentral.